UACGUAGGGUGCAAGCGUUAAUCGGAAUUACUGGGCGUAAAGCGUGCGCAGGCGGUUUUGUAAGCCAGAUGUGAAAUCCCCGGGCUCAACCUGGGAAUGGCAUUUGGGACUGCAAGGCUGGAGUACGGCAGAGGAGACUGGAAUUCCUGGUGUAGCAGUGAAAUGCGUAGAGAUCAGGAGGAAUACCGAUGGCGAAGGCAGGUCUCUGGGCUGAUACUGACGCUCAUGCACGAAAGCGUGGGGAGCAAACAGG
Molecule: ribosomal RNA, 253 nt
Filed under: uncultured bacterium
Lineage: Bacteria
Description: partial 16S ribosomal RNA
Rfam family: Bacterial small subunit ribosomal RNA
Source: RNAcentral